GUGUUCCUACGGGGGGCAGCAGUAGGGAAUCUUCCACAAUGGGCGAAAGCCUGAUGGAGCAACGCCGCGUGGGUGAAGAAGGUCUUCGGAUCGUAAAACCCUGUUGUUAGAGAAGAAAGUGCGUGAGAGUAACUGUUCACGUUUCGACGGUAUCUAACCAGAAAGCCACGGCUAACUACGUGCCAGCAGCCGCGGUAAUACGUAGGUGGCGAGCGUUGUCCGGAUUUACUGGGUGUAAAGGGCGUGUAGCCGGGUUGACAAGUCAGAUGUGAAAUCCUGCGGCUUAACCGCAGAACUGCAUUUGA
This 305-nucleotide ribosomal RNA is filed under the name uncultured bacterium. RNAcentral describes it as "bacterial SSU rRNA". It matches the Rfam family "Bacterial small subunit ribosomal RNA", at positions 333 to 630 of the family's 1533-position model. The record is from RNAcentral.